UUGUUUUUGAUUAUUAUCAAUAAAGUAUUCAGGCGACAAUGUUUGGUACAAGAGUUUGUGGUUGGGCCAUCGGCGGACGCUCUCCAGGCGCGGGGGCCCGGCGGUCGAGACCAGUUGGUCGGGACCGGUCCGCCGAAGCAACGACAAGGUAGAUUAGACACAGGGUUGGGAGGUCGGGCACCCAGAGGGCGACCCUAACUCGGUAAUGAUCCUUCCGCAGGUUCACCUACGGAAA
RNAcentral lists this unclassified non-coding RNA (235 nucleotides) under uncultured fungus. RNAcentral describes it as "sequence contains ITS1". The record is from RNAcentral. Lineage: Eukaryota; Fungi.